This 376-nucleotide ribosomal RNA is filed under the name uncultured Glomeromycotina. RNAcentral's name for it is "LSU rRNA". Lineage: Eukaryota; Fungi; Glomeromycota. The record is from RNAcentral.
UUGAAAGGGAAACGAUUGAAGUCAGUCGUACCAGCGGGAAAUCAACCUUUCGAGUGGGGGUUUUGGAGUUUUGAAGAGUUUCAAAACCUUUGAGAUUUCAAAAAUUUCGCUCUUUUGGUGUACUUUCUCGUGGGUAGGGUUAACAUCGAUUUUGAUUAUCAUAAAAAGAUUGGAGGAAUGUAGCUUCGAUCUUGUAUUGAAGUGUUAUAGCCUUUGGUAAAUGUGAUGAUUAGGAUCGAGGAUUGCAACGAAUACCCUUUUGGGCUAUCCGCCUGAUCUCUGAUACGUGGCCUUGGUAUCGAAAGCUUGCUUAUGGUAUUAAGGUAUUACGGUCAAAAGGUUAGAACGGAUUACAUUCGUUAAGGAUGUUGACGUA